AGAGAAUUUAUUGUUGGAGAGAUCAAGAAUUCGCAGACGUAAAAGUUUCGAUAAUUCAAAGGGAACCUCACCGCAAAACUGAUUGUUUCCAAGGUCAAGAAUUUCCAGUUUCUUGCAGUCAACAAUCUGGGGAGGGAGUUGAUCAACUAGUUGAUUGUUUGGAAGAGAGAGUUCUUUGAGCUCCGAGAGGUGGCCAACCGCAGGAGACAAGAACCCAGUGAGGCGUUGGGACUUAAAGAUGAGUCUAGUGAUUUUGAGUACAUAGGUGUUGUUGUUAGAGAGCCUCCUCUCGCAGAACACACCUGGAUUGUCGCAAGGGGUGGUGGAGGGGCUG
Molecule: unclassified non-coding RNA, 334 nt
Filed under: Hevea brasiliensis (rubber tree)
Lineage: Eukaryota; Viridiplantae; Streptophyta; Magnoliopsida; Malpighiales; Euphorbiaceae
Source: RNAcentral